Molecule: ribosomal RNA, 777 nt
Filed under: bacterium
Lineage: Bacteria
Description: bacterial SSU rRNA
Rfam family: Bacterial small subunit ribosomal RNA
Source: RNAcentral
ACAUGCAGUCGAGCGAACAGACGAGGAAGCUUGCUCCUNNUGACGUUAGCGNGCGAGACGGNGAGAGUCACACUGUGGUAUCAUCUACCGUAUAAACAGUGGAUAUAACUUCGGGGAAACCGGAUCUUAUACCGGAUAAUAUAUUGAACCGCAGUGGUUCAAUAGUGAAAGACGGUUUUUGCUGUCACUUAUAAAUGGAUCCGCGCCGCAUUAGCUAGUUGGGAAGGUAACGGCUUACCAAGGCAACAAUGCGUAGCCAACCUGAAAGGGUGAUCGGCCACACUGGAACUGAAACACGGCCCAAACUCCUACGGGAGGCAGCAGUAGGGAAUCUUCCGCAAUGGGCGAAAGCCUGACGGAGCAACGCCGCGUGAGUGAUGAAGGUCUUCGGAUCGUAAAACUCUGUUAUUAGGGAAGAACAAAUGUGUAAGUAACUAUGCACGUCUUGACGGUACCUAAUCAGAAAGCCACGGCUAACUACGUGCCAGCAGCCGCGGUAAUACGUAGGUGGCAAGCGUUAUCCGGAAUUAUUGGGCGUAAAGCGCGCGAGGCGGUUUUUUAAGUCUGAUGUGAAAGCCCACGGCUCAACCGUGGAGGGUCAUUGGAAACUGGAAAACUUGAGUGCAGAAGAGGAAAGUGGAAUUCCAUGUGUAGCGGUGAAAUGCGCAGAGAUAUGGAGGAACCCAGUGGCGAAGGCGACUUUCUGGUCUGAACUGACGCUGAUGUGCGAAAGCGUGGGGAUCAAACAGGAUUAGAUACCCUGGUAGUCCACGCCGU